Molecule: ribosomal RNA, 1489 nt
Filed under: groundwater metagenome
Description: bacterial SSU rRNA
Rfam family: Bacterial small subunit ribosomal RNA
Source: RNAcentral
AGAGUUUGAUUCUAGCUCAGGAUGAACGCUGGCGGCGUGGAUAGGGCAUGCAAGUCGUGCGGAUCUUGUGCUUUGCACAAGGUUAGCGGCAAACGAGUUAGUAACACGUAGGUACUUACCCCCGAGACGAGGAUAACUCAUCGAAAGAUGAGCUAAUACCCGAUUGUCCCUGAGGCCGUAAGGCCGAAGGGUAAAGAAGCAAUUCGCUUGGGGAGAGGCCUGCGGCCUAUCAGCUAGUUGGUGAGGUAAUGGCUUACCAAGGCUAUGACGGGUAGGGGGUGUGAGAGCACGACCCCCAACGAUGGUACUGAGACACGGACCUUACACCUACGGGUGGCCGCAGUCGAGAAUAUUCCACAAUGGGCGAAAGCCUGAUGGAGCGACGCCGCGUGCGGGAUGAAGGCCUUCGGGUCGUAAACCGCUUUUGUAGGGGAAGAAUCCCGAGAGCAAUCGAGGGAUGACUGUACCCUAAGAAUAAGGGGGGACUAACUCUGUGCCAGCAGUAGCGGUAAAACAGAGCCCCCAAGCGUUAUCCGGAUUUAUUGGGCGUAAAGUGUCCGUAGCCGGUCUGGAAAGUCUUAGGUUAAAUACCAAGAGCUCAACUUUUGGGAUGCCUGGGAAACUUCUAGACUCGAGGGUGUUAAGGGUUGAUGGAACUCUUGGUGGAGGGGUGAAAUCCGUUGAUAUCAAGAGGAACACCAAAAGCGAAAGCAUUCAACUAGGGCAACCCUGACGGUGAGGGACGAAAGCGUGGGGAGCAAAAAGGAUUAGAUACCCUUGUAGUCCACGCUGUAAACUUUGAAUACUAGCUAUGUGAAGUGUCGACCCUUCACGUGGCGAAGCUAACGCGUUAAGUAUUCCGCCUGGGAAGUACGGUCGCAAGACUAAAACUCAAAGAAAUAGACGGGGAUCCACACAAGCGGUGGAUCAUGUGGCUUAAUUCGUCAACAAACGAGGAACCUUACCAGGGCUUGACAGGCUAGUGAACGUCUGAUGAAAGUUAGACCUACCCACAAGGACACUAGCCCAGGUGCUGCACGGCUGUCGUCAGCAUGUAUCUUGAGACGCUCCGUUAAAUCGGGUAACAUGCGCAACCCUUAUUCUGUGUUUUACGUGUCACAGAAAACUGCCUGAGACAAUCAGGAGGAAGGCGAGGAUGACGCCAAGUCAGCGUGGCCCUUUGAUGUCCUGGGCCGCACACAUGAUACAAUGGGGCCGACAACGGGAUGCAAUGCCGUAAGGCGGAGCUAAUCCCUUAAACGGUCUCUCAAUUCGGAUUGAGGUCUGCAACUCGACCUCAUGAAGCCGGAAUCGCUAGUAAUCGCCAAUCAGCUAUGUGGCGAUGAAUAUGUUCCUGGAUCUUGUACUCACCGCCCGUCACGUUAAGCGAGCCGGGAAUACCCGAAGUGCCAGGUUUACUUGGUCCUAAGGUAAGCUCGGUAAGAGGAACGAAGUCGUAACAAGGCACGGGUAGCGGAAGCUGUCCGUG